RNAcentral lists this small nuclear RNA (107 nucleotides) under Colobus angolensis palliatus. The record is from RNAcentral. Lineage: Eukaryota; Metazoa; Chordata; Mammalia; Primates; Cercopithecidae.
GUGCUUCCCUCAGCAGCACAUAUACUAAAACUGGACUGAUACAGAGAAGAUUAGCAUGGUCCCUGUACAAGGAUGACAUGCAAAUUCACGAAGCAUUCCAUGUUUUU